GUAUAUUCUGAAAAUACGACAUGUCGACAGAACUUGGAUUACACAAUUUACGGGUUUUAGAUCAGUUAGAAGAGGGGGAUAUUGUGGAAUUUCAGAAAUGGUGGUUUUCUUCCCAUUAUGGUGUUUAUGUUGGUCAUUCAGACAUCGUUCAUGUAAGGCCCUUGUCCCACGGAGAACCACUCUUCGAUAUUGCCCCGUCAUGCUUUGGUAUUGCGAAAAAAGAAAACUUUUGGAUUGUCGCCGGAACAUCAAAAGCUUAUAAACAAAACAGUGAUGGUGAAAAACUAAGACCGUUGGAUAGUCAGACAGUUGUGGAAAGGGCAAUGUCAGCAAUUGAUUCGGGAUUCGAUUACCGCCUCCACAAUAAACAAUUUACUAAUUGGUGUCGUUAUGGAACGGCUGUAGGCUCUCAGUUUGAAUCUGCUGGUUUUAUAGCAGAAGCUAUAGCUAACAUUGGAUACUAUAUUGAUACCAAUUUCCUUGGACCUCGAUAAUUGUUUUUAUUUUGUUUUUACCGACAUAAUAAAAUCUUG
Long non-coding RNA from Patella vulgata (common limpet), 533 nucleotides. RefSeq lists it as uncharacterized. The transcript is spliced from 4 exons. The record is from RefSeq and is a predicted model, not a curated record. NCBI's taxonomy places the organism in Eukaryota, Metazoa, Mollusca, Gastropoda, Patellidae.